GACGAACGCUGGCGGCGGGCUUAACACAUGCAAGUCGAACGGAAAGGCCCUGCUUUUGUGGGGUGCUCGAGUGGCGAACGGGUGAGUAACACGUGAGUAACCUGCCCUGACUUUGGGAUAACUUCAGGAAACUGGGGCUAAUACCGGAUAGGAGCUCCUGCUGCAUGGUGGGGGUUGGAAAGUUUCGGCGGUUGGGGAUGGACUCGCGGCUUAUCAGCUUGUUGGUGGGGUAGUGGCUUACCAAGGCUUUGACGGGUAGCCGGCCUGAGAGGGUGACCGGCCACAUUGGGACUGAGAUACGGCCCAGACUCCUACGGGAGGCAGCAGUGGGGAAUAUUGCACAAUGGGCGGAAGCCUGAUGCAGCAACGCCGCGUGCGGGAUGACGGCCUUCGGGUUGUAAACCGCUUUCGCCUGUGACGAAGCGUGAGUGACGGUAAUGGGUAAAGAAGCACCGGCUAACUACGUG
This 467-nucleotide ribosomal RNA is filed under the name uncultured bacterium. RNAcentral describes it as "partial 16S ribosomal RNA". It matches the Rfam family "Bacterial small subunit ribosomal RNA", at positions 28 to 507 of the family's 1533-position model. The record is from RNAcentral.